UACGGGGGGGGCAAGCGUUGUUCGGAAUUACUGGGCGGAAAGGGUUUGUAGGUGGCUUGCUAAGUCAGACGUGAAAUCCCUCAGCUUAACUGGGGAACUGCGUCUGAGACUGGUGAGCUUGAGUGCAGGAGAGGAACGCGGAAUUCCAGGUGUAGCGGUGAAAUGCGUAGAUAUCUGGAGGAACACCGGUGGCGAAGGCGGCGUUCUGGACUGCAACUGACACUGAGGAACGAAAGCCAGGGGAGCAAACGGG
This 253-nucleotide ribosomal RNA is filed under the name uncultured bacterium. RNAcentral describes it as "partial 16S ribosomal RNA". It matches the Rfam family "Bacterial small subunit ribosomal RNA", at positions 524 to 776 of the family's 1533-position model. The record is from RNAcentral.